This is a regulatory RNA element of 126 nucleotides. It matches the Rfam family "FMN riboswitch aptamer (RFN element)". Rfam says of the family: The RFN element is a highly conserved domain that is found frequently in the 5'-untranslated regions of prokaryotic mRNAs that encode for flavin mononucleotide (FMN) biosynthesis and transport proteins. This element is a metabolite-dependent riboswitch that directly binds FMN in the absence of proteins. The record is from Rfam.
GUUCGUCUUCAGGGCAGGGUGAAAUUCCCGACCGGCGGUAAUAGUCCGCGACCCACCAAGUUAUUGGUGGCCGAAUUGGUGUGAUACCAAUACCGAUAGUUAAAGUCUAGAUAGAAGAAGAUAAGC